UACUCUAAACGUAGGUUUAGAGGAAAAAGAUUGUUGUCAACAGUCCAGAACAGAUUUCUACAAGAAAUCUAGA
Molecule: non-coding RNA, 73 nt
Filed under: unclassified sequences
Description: RT-6 RNA
Rfam family: RT-6 RNA
About the family: Firmicutes. Nearby to self-splicing intron genes
Source: Rfam by way of RNAcentral